AAGUCAUAACAAGAUUUCGUAGGUGAACCUGCGGAAGGAUAAAUAUUAGAAAUAUUUUACUCAAAACUUUCGAUCUUAUAUACAGAGUGCAUGCAAUUUAUUCUGCGGUGAUUUAUCUAAUUUAAUUAUUUUUACAGAAAAAACUAUAAAUAAUCAAUCAUUGUUACUUUAUAUUUAAAAUUUUUUAAUAACUUUCAACAACGGAUCUAUUGGCUCCU
RNAcentral lists this unclassified non-coding RNA (218 nucleotides) under fungal sp. RNAcentral describes it as "partial internal transcribed spacer region". The record is from RNAcentral. Lineage: Eukaryota; Fungi.